UGGCGGCGUGCUUAACACAUGCAAGUCGAACGAAGCUCUUGAUCGGAGGAUCGUCCAAAGUGAUGAGAAGACUUAGUGGCGGACGGGUGAGUAACGCGUGGGUAACCUGCCAUAUACAGGGGGAUAACAGUUAGAAAUGACUGCUAAUACCGCAUAAGCGCACAGUAAGGCAUCUUACAGUGUGAAAAGCCGAGACGGUAUAUGAUGGACCCGCGUCUGAUUAGCUAGUUGGUGAGGUAACGGCUCACCAAGGCGACGAUCAGUAGCCGGCCUGAGAGGGUGAACGGCCACAUUGGGACUGAGACACGGCCCAAACUCCUACGGGAGGCAGCAGUGGGGAAUAUUGCACAAUGGGGGGAAACCCUGAUGCAAGCGACGCCGCGUGAGUGAAGAAGUAAUUCGUUACGUAAAGCUCUAUCAGCAGGGAAGAAAAUGACGGUACCUGACUAAGAAGCCCCGGCUAACUACGUGCCAGCAGCAGC
Molecule: ribosomal RNA, 482 nt
Filed under: uncultured bacterium
Lineage: Bacteria
Description: bacterial SSU rRNA
Rfam family: Bacterial small subunit ribosomal RNA
Source: RNAcentral